Molecule: long non-coding RNA, 3631 nt
Organism: Diorhabda carinulata
Lineage: Eukaryota; Metazoa; Arthropoda; Insecta; Coleoptera; Chrysomelidae
Exons: 2
Source: RefSeq, a predicted model, not a curated record
CAUAUUUUACAAUAUUAUUCGGUUAGAGAACAAAUGGCGUUUGUUCUGUUAUAGUAAUGAUAUAAGUGUAGAUAUUAUUUAGUAAUAGUACAGUGAUGAGAACGCGUAAUUAUUUGAUAAAUGUAACUUAAAACAGCUCAAAAAUUGUGCGGUAUCACAUUUUUCAAUUUUCAAUCAGUGAAAACAUCGAACUCACUUCUGCAUUCUUGAUUGUUGAAUAAUACUUUCAGGAAAUGUACCUGGUGAGUUUACAAUUACUUAGUCGGUUCCAUUUUUAUCUUUAGACAUUUAUAAAUCCUAACCUAUCUUAUUGUAAAGUCUUAAACAAUCUAAUCAAAUCAUAGCUAAUAGCCCUGGCAGAUCAGGCAUUUCUAAUUUCGAAAAAGAAGAUGUUUUAUUUUAGAAAGGUUAUUUCGGAUUUCCUUGAUGCCGUAUCCUACGAAACGACGCUUAAUCGUCAGGACUACCCUUAAGCUUUUAACCUAACCUCAAUUCAUGACAUGGUCGAAAUAGAUUUUGUAUAGUACAAAAAAUAUCAACGGAAAUAGUUACAGGGAGCUUGGAAAAAACACAAAAUGUUAUGUAAUUGUAACAAAAAUUGAAAUAAACCAAUUCAUCCGAAACUCGAUGCUUGUCCGUGGAUGAAAUAUACGACAGAACGUUUCUCGGUACAUCCUAUCUUAGUUACAUGAGUUUAAUAAAAAAAGUUCCCUAGAAAUUCUACAUUCAAAAUUAGUAUUUAAAUUCGGUCACACCUUUUGUGUUUUUCGACCUUUGCGGUAAAACGCUACAAAAAAAGCUAUCGUCAAGUAUAAUAAUAAUAAUUUUUGUAAUUGGUAUGAGGUAAAACAAUAUUAACAAUAAUGUAUCAACCUUGGUUUUUCUCUUAAUGUUUUUGCAUCCGAUAAAGUGCAUACGAUAUAAAAAUUAAAACACGUCAUCAAUUCAUUUCUAAACUAAAUACCAACAAUUAACAUGGAAUUCUAUAAUCAAUUCAAUUUUCAUAUUAAUACCAGAGUUCAUAUUAAGGAUAGAGAUAGCGACAUAUAAGUCGAAUAGGUUCACCACUCUCUAUCUCUUUCUACUUGCUUCUGAUUUCUUUGCCGUUUCUAUCACUGGAAACUUCGAGUCAUGGCGAUCCAAUCAUAAUAGAGUGUGGUAUGCUUUCUCUAUUAGCAAUAAGCUUCAAAAACUCAUUCUCCUCAUCUUUAAUAUUAACUCUAUGAUUAAUAACAUUUGUUCCAGCUGAAGAUAUAUUAAUGACAGCUGACAGUUAGAUUCAUAAGUUUGCAAUUUUGUAAAACGUUGUCAAAUUGGUGCUGUUCAUUAAUUCGAGUCUUCUCUUUCAAAAUUUUACUUCUGGUAAUUAUUAUUACAUAUAACAAAAAAAGUCAAAAUGAAUAUUUGGGUUUUUACUUGAAAAUUAUAAUUCUCAAAUUAUCGCACGUCGUUGUGGAAUUCUUCAAAAGGUCUCUAACAUGCCAUAAUUAUAAUUGAAUAACCUACCAUUAUAAAAAAUAAAUUAACAACACACGUUUUGAAUACCAUCAAAAAUGAAUUAUGUGCUGACACAUACAAUUGCGAAAGCGAUUUGACAUUAAGAAUAGUGUAUAGCUAAAUAUCGAUUUGCAGGAUUGACAAAAAUAUUUUAUUCUUUUCGGUAAUUGUAUUGCGCGAAAUUACUAGAAAUAACGGUCUCGUACAUGGAGUUUUCUCAACUAACUUUGAACAAACUAUAACUAAAACUAAUGACAAUUAUUUUCAUUUUAAUACAACAUAACCUCAUUGUUUUAUAUUUUCUUUGUUUCCAUACGGUUGUUAAUAUCUCGUAGUCUAUGACUUGCAUCAAUUGUAUACUGUAUGACCCUGUAUAUGUAUUGUAUAGUCCACAAAUAUAUUUCAGUAUAGACGAUGCAGCAUAAAUGUAAACAUUUUGAAAUUAUUGGUAUUAAAUCUUUACCAUAUUCUUAAAAAUUAUGAAUUUAACUACAUCAAACGGUGAAAAGUUAUAAAAAUUAACAUUCUUUAUAAAACAUUCUAAAAUUACAGUUUUCCUAAUUUAAUUAUUGUCAAUUUGCCUUUUGAACAAAGGUGCAGUUCAAGAAUGACUCAAAAAUAAUUCAAUUAAACUUUGAAGAGUAAAAGCUUAAUUGAAUGCCCUAUAACCUGUAAAUUUCAAUGAUACUUAUUUUUUUAAAUAUCAUAUUGUAAUUUUGCUAUUUAAAUUUGAAUAAAAUCUCACGAAAGUAUUCAAUAAAAUUAAAUAUAAGAUUGAAUUACUACCAUAAAUCAAAAGUGGCACGGUAAAAGCACCGUUACCAAAUUAAUUUAUUUACAAAAACAAUUCUUUCUGAAGUAUUAAGAAACCAUCUAGUAAAAGUAGCACACUUACCUGAGCGAUAGAAAAAAAAUACUGUAACUAAACACCGGUAUAUAGUAUUCACUUAUCCGUUUAGUCACUAAAAGUAAUUUUGAAUUCUUAAAUUAACACACCCACGGUGAGAUGGUAUGUAUGAUGGUAGAAUUUCUACGUGCACUGGUUUGUGAUGUAGACAGAACUUCAGUGAUGAUGGCUAAGUUACUGGUUUGGACGCCAAGAGCAUUUUCUAUCCCACAACUGGAUUUUACCUACGUUGCGCAGAUAUCUCUUGUUUUUCAUUCUAAUGAGUAUACGUGAGGUACUUCUCAAUUUGUUGGUAUCAAUAAUAUUAUUGUCGUUGCUUAUAUACCAUUUAAUAAAUAAAACAAACGUAUUUUUUACGUAAUGUUAUUUUAUACAGUAUGUUAUGAAACACAUUCUUAAUAAUUGAAGAAAGAUAAUUCCAUAUAUAUUAUUUGACAGGAUAAUCAAGGGAUUGUCUCCAUAAUAAUGAUAUAAAUAGAUACCACUCACGACUAAUACGGCGCCAUAUUUUAACAAACACAUAAGUACUUUACUUAAUUUCGACAAAUAAUUAACACUGGGUACUAAUUAUAAUACUCGUAAAAUAUUAUUUAUAUAAUUUGUUAGGAUGAAAGUAAAAUAUUGUCAUGUUUUAUGAAGAAAGUUAUUUAUAACUAUAUCAUAACGUAUUUAUGAUUCGCGCGCAAUAUGGCGGCGUUUAGAAUUUCAAUUGCAUUGAUGCCAAAUUAGUGAGUGAGAAUAAGAUUAAUAUUGACGUUUCGACUUUUUUCGGUAUCUAUCAAAAUAUUUUCAACAAAGAGACCUCAAAUCAAGAUGACUUAUCAACAAUAAUAUAUAAAAAGGUCUAAAAAAUAAGAAGUUGAAAGAAGUAACUGAAAACAUGUCGAUUUUCAAACUAAAUCUGAUUAUUUAAAAGUAUUUAAUAACUUGGCAACGUUGUGAACUGUUCUACCAACACGAUAAAUUUUUGUUACCAGGUAUCAUUAACGUUAAUUAGUUGGAAUAAUCGAAUAAAGAAUGAUGUUUUAUAAAAUGUAAUAAUAAAAUAUUGAGGAUUAUUUUGUGUUUAUUAAAUAAAAUUGUUGUUUAUUGAAAGAGAAGUAAAAUCAAAAUCAUUUAUUCACUGGAAUAUAUCGGUACAUUGCGUGUAGAACUGCUACAUUAUAUUUGUUUUUAUUUUUCAAUUGUUUAUGUAUAUUUUUUAAAAUAAUAAAACAUAACAUUAUU